CCCAGAACGGCGUCGCAGCGUGGUAUUUGGGGUCAACCUUGAAGGAUACCAAGGACCAUCUUUGCAACUCUGCUUGGGGAGAAUGGGUAAGAUUUUUUCUUUUUUAUGUUACAUAUGCUUAUGCAUGCAUGCUGAUGAGUACUUAGUCCUGGUACUUUUAUGCUUAUGUAUGUCCAUGCAUAUUUAGACUAUAUGAAUGCAUGUUUAGACUAUGUGUUGCUCGUGUAUGAAUGCAUGCUUCGUGCUAUUUCACAUGUUAUGCCCAUGUAUGAAUGCAUACUCGGUUUUUGUCAUGCUCAUGCAUGUAUGCUUAUUCUACGUGUUCAUGUUAGGACAAUGAAUGUAUGCUCAUGCAUGUAUGCCUACGCAUGCUUUUAGAAUUCUGUUCCUUGAUGCCUAAGCUUAGGCUGAACCCGCAUACAGGAAAUACGGCUAUCCCAAUAACAUAGGAUCCUGGGUUAACUGCACCCAUCCUCUCAUACAGCAGACCAUUCACAAUAUGCCUUUUUGUCCUUGUUUCUACCCCUGUGCCUGGAAGUUGGAUGUCGAGCUUACCCGGGCUCUUGCCAAGAGAUGAUGGUCGAGCACCCAUAACUUUCACCUUUUGCGGUUGAAAUGAUGAUCACCCCCUCUGCUUCUAUACUUUGACCGGCCUGCCCUUUGGUGGCGAGCCCAUCACUUUAUCUACCCCUAUAGCAGGUCCACUUUAUUGGAUCUUACGGGCAUUGAUUCUACUGCCUCCACCAUCCUUCUCUCUACCAUCAGCAAGUUCCACACUGAUAAGAAGGUGACCGUGUCCACCUCUCGGGUGGAGAAGGACUAGUUUCUUUGCAGCAUCUUCCUUUACUGGGCUAGCCAGUGCCUAUUCAGUAACCCUUCUGACAAGGUCGAUCUCCGGCUAGCCUACUACUUCAGUGACCUUUGGAAUAUCCAGAAGUAUGACUGGGGUGGCACCGCCUACGCGUACUUCCUGAGGAUGAUGGAUCGUCUGGCCUGGGCCGAUCCAAGCUUGUAUGGGGCUACCUUCAUUCUUCAGGUUAAUUGGACUCCCUUCCAGACGGUGACUUUUCACUUGGAGGCUCAUCGAGAAGAGGCUAGGAGACGCACUGGUCUUCGUGUUCUAUUCCAGGGUCCCAAUGGUCAUACUUGGUAUCUGGGGAGAGGUCGCCAAGCAGUGGUUUGAUAAGAUGGUCCACUAGUUCCUCAUCAUCAUCCUCCAUCCAUACAUAACCCUAGCAUUCUUUCUAAUGAGGAAUUUCAAGCGGCCUUAACUGGGGUAACCGGGGAUAACUUCACAGACCCGUUGCGGGCCUACGAGGAGUUUCUUCAGAAGGAGACCGUAUGCAUGCCGCUGACUUCUGAUGGUCCCUAGGUAAACAUCCUGAACUUCUUUUCAAUUACUUUGACUAUCACAUAGAUGGUCAUCUUCCUUGGCCGAAAUGCCCUAGGUCAGUAGGUGCUUCUAUAGAGGGUUCCUCCCAUAUGAGUGCCAGGUUGGUUCAUAAUGUGGCUAAGCUGCCCUCCUCCACUCCAAGCUUCCCCGGAUGGACAUACCACAAUGCACAGGAUCCCACAACCUAGAUUAUGUUGCCAAGGGCCCCAGAAGCAGGUGAGAUGAUGGGCCUUCCCAUCCCCUUCAACUAUUGUCUUACUGCCAGAGCUUGUAUAUCACUGACAUUGAGGCAAGGCUCCAUCAGUUCCACUCUGGAUUCGGAGGCGGGGGACCUGAUGCCAGACACGGGGGUGAGGGUCCCAACCCUGUGCAUGGAGGCGGAGAUCCCAAUCAUAGAGGUGGAGGGUCCAACCUUGGAUUUGGAGGUGGAGAGCCCUCCUUUAGGGCUGGUAAAUCUGAUUUCGGGAGCGGAGAGACCAAUGCAGGCCCCACCUUUUUUAUGGAUGAGCUCCAACUUCUCAUAGAGGAAGACAGGUAGGACACAUAGAGUGGACAUGGUGGACAGUCAUAGGGCUGACCAACGACUUUUACAUGUAGACCUUCAUUUUAUUUGAACUCCCUCUUUUUCCCUUUUUUUUUUU
This is a long non-coding RNA of Macadamia integrifolia, 2034 nucleotides long. RefSeq lists it as uncharacterized. The record is from RefSeq and is a predicted model, not a curated record. NCBI's taxonomy places the organism in Eukaryota, Viridiplantae, Streptophyta, Magnoliopsida, Proteales, Proteaceae. The transcript is spliced from 3 exons.